UCUCCGUUGGUGAACCAGCGGAAGGAUCAUUACCGAGUUUUUACAGCUCAGCCAAAAACCCCUGUGCGCUCAUACCCCGACUCUUUCUUCGACGAACGGGUAGUGCUCUCCCGCGCGGGGGCUCGAGCUCCUGUAUUGGCUGUCUUUUUUGCGCAUCGGAACGGUGAGAAGACAUCAACGGAUCAAAACUUUCAACAAUGUAGCUCGUGGUUCUUGCAUCGAUGAAUACUGCAGCAGAUCUGAUGAACACACCUCUGAACUACCAUCACGCGUAUCUAU
This 279-nucleotide unclassified non-coding RNA is filed under the name plant metagenome. RNAcentral describes it as "partial contains small subunit ribosomal RNA, internal transcribed spacer 1, and 5.8S ribosomal RNA". The record is from RNAcentral.